Papio anubis (olive baboon) is the source of this 74-nucleotide non-coding RNA. Lineage: Eukaryota; Metazoa; Chordata; Mammalia; Primates; Cercopithecidae. The record is from Rfam.
GGCUGUGUGGCCUAAAGGAUAAGGCAUCUGACUUCAGAUCAGAAGAUUGCAGGUUUGAGUCACUGCUGUGGUCA